UGUGUCCUACGGGAGGCAGCAGUGAGGAAUAUUGGUCAAUGGGCGGGAGCCUGAACCAGCCAUGCCGCGUGCAGGAAGACGGCUCUAUGAGUUGUAAACUGCUUUUGUACGAGGGUAAACGCAGAUACGUGUAUCUGUCUGAAAGUAUCGUACGAAUAAGGAUCGGCUAACUCCGUGCCAGCAGCCGCGGUAAUACGGAGGAUUCAAGCGUUAUCCGGAUUUAUUGGGUUUAAAGGGUGCGUAGGCGGUCGGAUAGGUUAGGGGUGAAAUCCCGAGGCUCAACUUCGGAAUUGCCUCUGAUACUG
RNAcentral lists this ribosomal RNA (305 nucleotides) under uncultured bacterium. RNAcentral describes it as "bacterial SSU rRNA". It matches the Rfam family "Bacterial small subunit ribosomal RNA", at positions 333 to 635 of the family's 1533-position model. The record is from RNAcentral.